UUGAGGGGGGCUGCUCCUAGUACGAGAGGACCGGAGUGGACGCAUCACUGGUGUUCGGGUUGUCAUGCCAAUGGCACUGCCCGGUAGCUAAAUGCGGAAGAGAUAAGUGCUGAAAGCAUCUAAGCACGAAACUUGCCCCGAGAUGAGUUCUCCCUGAGACUUUAAGUCUCCUGAAGGAACGUUGAAGACGACGACGUUGAUAGGCCGGGUGUGUAAGCGCAGCGAUGCGUUGAGCUAACCGGUACUAAUGAACCGUGAGGCUUAACCUUAC
Molecule: ribosomal RNA, 271 nt
Filed under: Salmonella enterica subsp. enterica serovar Tennessee str. 4535
Lineage: Bacteria; Pseudomonadati; Pseudomonadota; Gammaproteobacteria; Enterobacterales; Enterobacteriaceae
Description: partial 23S ribosomal RNA
Rfam family: Bacterial large subunit ribosomal RNA
Source: RNAcentral